GACGAACGCUGGCGGCGUGCUUAACACAUGCAAGUCGAACGGAAAGGCCCUGCUUUUGUGGGGUGCUCGAGUGGCGAACGGGUGAGAACACGUGAGUAACCUGCCCUUGACUUUGGGAUAACUUCAGGAAACUGGGGCUAAUACCGGAUAGGAGCUCCUGCUGCAUGGUGGUGGUUGGAAAGUUUCGGCUGUUGGGGAUGGACUCGCGGCUUAUCAGCUUGUUGGUGGGGUAGUGGCUUACCAAGGCUUUGACGGGUAGCCGGCCUGAGAGGGUGACCGGCCACAUUGGGACUGAGAUACGGCCCAGACUCCUACGGGAGGCAGCAGUGGGGAAUAUUGCACAAUGGGCGGAAGCCUGAUGCAGCAACGCCGCGUGCGGGAUGACGGCCUUCGGGUUGUAAACCGCUUUCGCCUGUGACGAAGCGUGAGUGACGGUAAUGGGUAAAGAAGCACCGGCUAACUACGUG
RNAcentral lists this ribosomal RNA (467 nucleotides) under uncultured bacterium. Its description in RNAcentral is "partial 16S ribosomal RNA". It matches the Rfam family "Bacterial small subunit ribosomal RNA", at positions 28 to 507 of the family's 1533-position model. The record is from RNAcentral.